This 878-nucleotide ribosomal RNA is filed under the name uncultured bacterium. RNAcentral's name for it is "bacterial SSU rRNA". It matches the Rfam family "Bacterial small subunit ribosomal RNA", at positions 118 to 1039 of the family's 1533-position model. The record is from RNAcentral.
UGGGAAUAUACCCUUUGUACGGAAUAGCCUCUGGAAACGGAGAGUAAUACCGUAUGAGCCCUUCGGGGAAAGAUUUAUCGCCAAAGGAUUAGCCCGCGUUAGAUUAGGUAGUUGGUGGGGUAAUGGCCUACCAAGCCUACGAUCUAUAGCUGGUUUUAGAGGAUGAUCAGCAACACUGGGACUGAGACACGGCCCAGACUCCUACGGGAGGCAGCAGUGGGGAAUCUUGGACAAUGGGGGCAACCCUGAUCCAGCCAUGCCGCGUGAGUGAUGAAGGCCUUAGGGUCGUAAAGCUCUUUCGCCUGUGAAGAUAAUGACGGUAGCAGGUAAAGAAACCCCGGCUAACUCCGUGCCAGCAGCCGCGGUAAUACGGAGGGGGUUAGCGUUGUUCGGAAUUACUGGGCGUAAAGCGCACGUAGGCGGACCAGAAAGUUGGGGGUGAAAUCCCGGGGCUCAACCCCGAACUGCCUCCAAAACUAUUGGUCUAGAGUUCGAGAGAGGUGAGUGGAAUUCCAGGUGUAGAGGUGAAAUUCGUAGAUAUUUGGAGGAACACCAGUGGCGAAGGGGCUCACUGGCUCGAUACUGACGCUGAGGUGCGAAAGUGUGGGGAGCAAACAGGAUUAGAUACCCUGGUAGUCCACACCGCAAACGAUGAAUGCCAGUCGUCGGGUAGCAUGCUAUUCGGUGACACACCUAACGGAUUAAGCAUUCCGCCUGGGGAGUACGGUCGCAAGAUUAAACUCAAAGGAAUUGACGGGGGCCCGCACAAGCGUGGAGCAUGUGGUUUAAUUCGAAGCAACGCGCAGAACCUUACCAACCCUUGACAUCCCGGGACCGUCCAGAGAUGGAUCUUUCACUUCGGUGACUCGGUGACAGGU